This 214-nucleotide unclassified non-coding RNA is filed under the name Hevea brasiliensis (rubber tree). Lineage: Eukaryota; Viridiplantae; Streptophyta; Magnoliopsida; Malpighiales; Euphorbiaceae. The record is from RNAcentral.
AACAAGCCUCCGUUGCCAAAGAAGUCAUUUAUUAACUCUGUAUCGAAAAAGCUUGGGAGACUGUAUCCGUUGGCUCUUAUGGACAAUAUUAAGCCUCUCUCGGGCAAAGUUCGAACAAAGCCACCUAAAGAUCGUAGGCACUCGGUCUCUUGAAUUAUCGUAGAUGUGUGACAGAAAUGCUCUUCCUGACAUCAACUGUUUCAUAAUGGUUCUG